RNAcentral lists this ribosomal RNA (301 nucleotides) under uncultured bacterium. RNAcentral's name for it is "partial 16S ribosomal RNA". It matches the Rfam family "Bacterial small subunit ribosomal RNA", at positions 509 to 807 of the family's 1533-position model. The record is from RNAcentral.
CAGUCGCCGCGGGAAUACGUAGGGCGCAAGCGUUGUCCGGAAUUAUUGGGCGUAAAGAGCUCGUAGGCGGUCUGUCGCGUCUGGUGUGAAAUCCCGAGGCUCAACCUCGGGCUUGCAUCGGGUACGGGCAGACUAGAGUGCGGUAGGGGAGACUGGAAUUCCUGGUGUAGCGGUGGAAUGCGCAGAUAUCAGGAGGAACACCGAUGGCGAAGGCAGGUCUCUGGGCCGCAACUGACGCUGAGGAGCGAAAGCAUGGGGAGCGAACAGGAUUAGAUACCCCGGUAGUCCCUGUCUCUUAUAC